This 40-nucleotide transfer RNA is filed under the name Ursus arctos (brown bear). RNAcentral describes it as "partial tRNA-Asp". Lineage: Eukaryota; Metazoa; Chordata; Mammalia; Carnivora; Ursidae. The record is from RNAcentral.
GAGAUAUUAGUAAAAAUUACAUAACUUUGUCAGGGUUAAA